RNAcentral lists this long non-coding RNA (375 nucleotides) under Gossypium barbadense (sea-island cotton). Its description in RNAcentral is "long non-coding RNA (GBAR_LNC017386)". The record is from RNAcentral. Lineage: Eukaryota; Viridiplantae; Streptophyta; Magnoliopsida; Malvales; Malvaceae.
GAGUUUGUGGCGACUUUCCUUUUCUUGUAUAUCACUAUUUUGACUGUUAUGGGAGUUGUUAAGGAAAAAACUAAGUGCCCAACUGUUGGGAUUCAAGGGAUUGCUUGGGCUUUUGGUGGUAUGAUCUUUGCUCUUGUUUACUGCACUGCUGGCAUUUCAGGUAAACUUUCUUUCCUCCCCCUUUGUUUGUUUCUCGAGAAAACCAGAAUGAAUAUGCAAUUCUUUUUCCUCUUUGGGUUCUUUUCAAAUAUAAAAACUGUAUGAAGAAAACUAAUAAAAAUGGCAUCUGUACGGUGGUGGUGGAUAGGUGGCCAUAUCAACCCGGCAGUGACUUUUGGACUGUUCUUGGCGAGGAAGCUGUCGUUGACGAGGGCA